GAAUUGAUUGAAUUGAGUAGCGGUGGGAGUGAAACCACUCUUCAAUAGAGAAACAAGGGCGAGAGAGAAUGGUCUAAUGUUAGAAAUCUUAGAGAAAAUCAUGGCCUAUAGUUCUAUACAGUACGAUUUGCGAACUAAUUUGAGAAAAAAAUGGAAAACCAAAGAGCAAAUACUGUUCAAAUACCGAAGAUGAAGAGCCUAAUGCAGCCAAGUUCUUCUUCAAUAAUUUUCCGAUCAGGUUUCACUGGUGGUGUUGCAUAAC
This 262-nucleotide unclassified non-coding RNA is filed under the name Hevea brasiliensis (rubber tree). The record is from RNAcentral. Lineage: Eukaryota; Viridiplantae; Streptophyta; Magnoliopsida; Malpighiales; Euphorbiaceae.